RNAcentral lists this long non-coding RNA (916 nucleotides) under Gallus gallus (chicken). RNAcentral describes it as "long non-coding RNA NONGGAT004900". The record is from RNAcentral. Lineage: Eukaryota; Metazoa; Chordata; Aves; Galliformes; Phasianidae.
UGGGGGGGGAAGAAAAGACUUCAGGGGCUUUCCAGCUGUUGAAAACAGAUGGCUGUAAACAAAAGACUUAAGAGCUAAUACUUAUAUUUCCAAAAGCCUUUGCUUUGUUCAGGUCACAGCUCUGCUGCUGCAGUGGGGGGAGAGAUUGCAAAGUACAGCUCGUUCCCAGUCAGUGCUAAUCUUGGAGAUGAAGAGCACCUUUGUCUGAAGAGUGCCACCAGUGCUGUUUGGGGCUGGCACUCUUUGGAGGAGGAGGAGGAGGCGUCAGCUUAGCAAACAUGGACUGGGAGGCUAUUCUGAGAAUAGCAGGCAGCCUCAAAAGCGGAUCUGCAGUGAGAAGCAGGCAGAAGAGAUGACUGAUGAGCAGAGGGGAGAGGCAGGUGGCACUUCAGGGAGCUAUUCAGGGUGACCCACUGAGGUAUUUGUGUGCACAGGAAGACAGAAGUUUGCAUUAAGUGUGCAUUUAGCUUGUAAGCUGCCUGACCACCUCACCCUGUGAAACCAAUGUAUACCUUUGUUGCUGAGUCUCUGUGCUCACUGCAAGCGUUUCGUGAUGUGUUUUAAGCUGAGGAGUCAUCCCGGCCCACCAGCUGCAAAAUGCCUGGCCGAGGCACUGAUGUCCUGUAGCAGCUGCAUUAGUCAAAGCAAAGGGCACUGAGGACUCCAUACAUCAAGAUGCCAAUGUGCCUUGGCUGGUUGCUGUGGAUGUUAUCUCUGUCUCAUUGUACGUGCUUGUCCUCGCUCCCUGAAAUUUUGCAGAAGGUUCUUGAAUAAUAUAUAUUGCAUUUAGCAGGCAUCCAGUGCUGAAAAACAAGAGGGCUGACACUGCUAAUUCAGCUAGCUGGGCAGUUAUUAAAACGAAAAUGCAGGUUGAGACAUCUGUGUUGUCUUUUUGUUUCCCUCUCACUGGGACUGG